AUUGCCUCAGUAACGGCGAGUGAAGCGGCAACAGCUCAAAUUUGAAAUCUGGCUCUUUCAGGGUCCGAGUUGUAAUUUGUAGAAGAUGCUUUGGGUGUAGCUCCGGUCUAAGUUCCUUGGAACAGGACGUCAUAGAGGGUGAGAAUCCCGUACGUGACUGGGUGCUUUCGCUCGUGUAAAGCUCUUUCGACGAGUCGAGUUGUUUGGGAAUGCAGCUCAAAAUGGGUGGUAAAUUUCAUCUAAAGCUAAAUAUUGGCCAGAGACCGAUAGCGCACAAGUAGAGUGAUCGAAAGAUGAAAAGCACUUUGGAAAGAGAGUUAAACAGUACGUGAAAUUGUUGAAAGGGAAGCGCUUGCAACCAGACUUGCGCGCUGUUGAUCAUCCGAGCUUCUGCCCGGUGCACUCGACAGCGUUCAGGCCAGCAUCGGUUUUGGUGGGCGGAUAAAGGCCUUGGGAAUGUAGCUUCUUUCGGGGAGUGUUAUAGCCCUCGGUGCAAUGCGCCCUACCGGGACCGAGGACCGCGCUUCGGCUAGGAUGCUGGCGUAAUGGUUGUAAGCGACCCGUCUUGAAACACGGACCAAGGAGUCUAACAUCUAUGCGAGUGUUUGGGUGUCAAACCCAUACGCGUAAUGAAAGUGAACGGAGGUGAGAACCCUUAAGGGUGCAUCAUCGACCGAUCCUGAUGUCUUCGGAUGGAUUUGAGUAAGAGCAUAGCUGUUGGGACCCGAAAGAUGGUGAACUAUGCCUGAAUAGGGUGAAGCCAGAGGAAACUCUGGUGGAGGCUCGCAGCGGUUCUGACGUGCAAAUCGAUCGUCAAAUUUGGGUAUAGGGGCGAAAGACUAAUCGAACCAUUGGUAAAAUACACCGCAGGAACGGUGCUAGGUGGUUAAGAGGCCGCUGAGAAGCGCGCCUAGUCCUGUUCUCAGGGCGACAUUGUCAAAUUGUUCGGGGACGUCCUGUCACUGCUAAGCUACCGCAGCUUGUCUCGAAAGAGCAGCGCGCACCGGGUUAACGACCCUGGGGAUGGUAACAACGCUUAGCUAGGGAUGAUCCGCAGCCACACCCUACGGGCGGAAAAAGCCUACGGGUGGGGUUCACAGACUCGACGACAGUGGGCUCGACAGAGCUUAAGAUAGAGUCGGACCCCCGAGAGAUCGGGCGGUGGGUGACCCUCUUCGAGGGGAUCUUACCGGGGCAGUCUGCCCGGAGC
RNAcentral lists this ribosomal RNA (1210 nucleotides) under Hyaloscypha hepaticicola. Its description in RNAcentral is "LSU rRNA". It matches the Rfam family "Eukaryotic large subunit ribosomal RNA", at positions 74 to 1409 of the family's 3401-position model. The record is from RNAcentral. Lineage: Eukaryota; Fungi; Ascomycota; Leotiomycetes; Helotiales; Hyaloscyphaceae.